GCUUAAUACAUGCAAGUCGAGCGGACAAAUGGGAGCUUGCUCCCUGAUGUUUGCGGCGGAGGGGUGAGUAACACGUGGGUAACCUGCCUGUAACAGUGGGAUACCUCCGGGAAAGCGGGGCUAAUACCGGAUGGUUGUUUGAACCGCGGGGUUCGAACAUAAAAGGUGGCUUCGGCUACCACUUACAGAUGGACCCGCGGCGCAUUAUCUAGUUGGUGAGGUAACGGCUCACCAAGGCAACCAUGCCUAACCGACCUGACAGGGUGAUCGGCCCCGCUGGGACUGACACACGCCCCAGACUCCUACGGGAGGCAACAAUAGGGAAUCUUCCGCAAUGGACAAAAGUCUGACCGACCAGCGCCACGAGAGUGAUGAAGGUUUUCGGAUCUUAAAGCUCUGUUGAUAGGAAAGAACAAGUACCGUUCGAAUAGGGCGGUACCUUGACGGUACCUAACCCCAAAGCCACGGCUAAGUACCUGCCAUCAUCCGGAGUAAUACGUAGGUGGCAAGUGUUGUCCGGAUUUAUUGGGCGGAAAGGGCUCUCAGGCGGUUUCUUACGUCUGAUGUGAGAGCCCCCGGCUCAACCGGGGAGGGUCGUUGGAAAGUGGUUAACUUGAUUGCAGAGAAGGGCAGUGAAAUUCCGCGUGUAGCGGUGAAAUGCGGA
Molecule: ribosomal RNA, 664 nt
Filed under: Bacillus subtilis
Lineage: Bacteria; Bacillati; Bacillota; Bacilli; Caryophanales; Bacillaceae
Description: bacterial SSU rRNA
Rfam family: Bacterial small subunit ribosomal RNA
Source: RNAcentral